Molecule: ribosomal RNA, 469 nt
Filed under: uncultured Alphaproteobacteria bacterium
Lineage: Bacteria; Pseudomonadati; Pseudomonadota; Alphaproteobacteria
Description: bacterial SSU rRNA
Rfam family: Bacterial small subunit ribosomal RNA
Source: RNAcentral
GAGUUUGAUCGUGGCUCAGAACGAACGCUGGCGGCAUGCCUAACACAUGCAAGUCGAACGAGACCUUUGGGUCUAGUGGCGCACGGGUGCGUAACGCGUGGGAAUCUGCCCUUGGGUUCGGAAUAACAGUUAAAAAUGACUGCUAAUACCGGAUGAUGACUUCGGUCCAAAGAUUUAUCGCCCAAGGAUGAGCCCGCGUCGGAUUAGCUUGUUGGUGAGGUAAAAGCUCACCAAGGCGACGAUCCGUAGCUGGUCUGAGAGGAUGAUCAGCCACACUGGGACUGAGACACGGCCCAGACUCCUACGGGAGGCAGCAGUGGGGAAUAUUGGACAAUGGGCGAAAGCCUGAUCCAGCAAUGCCGCGCGAGUGAUGAAGGCCUUAGGGUUGUAAAGCUCUUUUACCCGGGAUGAUAAUGACAGUACCGGGAGAAUAAGCCCCGGCUAACUCCGUGCCAGCCGCCGCUGUAAC